CGCCGACGUCCCUCAGGGCGCCGUGGAGGCGGGGCCUAGCAACCUGCGCGGGGGCGGGGAAGGAGGCGGUGCCACACCUGGGGUGAAGCCAUUCGAUGUCUCGCCGUAGACCGUGCCGUCGGCCCCUGGUGGCACCUGAGAGCUUCCAGGCUGGUGAUCGAGCGUGGUGGCGCGUGUCGGGCGGUGCGCUCCAGUCCCCAGUCGCGGCCUCUCUCCAGGAAGGCCUCGACGGAGCCGUAGCGGAGCAGCGCGCCGGGAGCAGCCGCGCCCCGGAGAGCUGUACCGGGCGUGCAGGAGGAUGGCCCUGUCCCCAGCCCCGGUCACAGCUGGCCCUGCGCCUGUCCUGCACGGACGUCCGUCUGUCUAUACAGAUCUGGUUAAACUGGGGAGACCGCGCCCAGUGGUCAGUGCUGCAGCCUUCUUUUCAAGCAGAAGUAGCCGCUGCAGACACGCUAGACUUAACAGGGCCCUAAACCGCUAGGGGAGAAGAAAAAGUACUUGAAAUACAGCUCUGGGGACGGUAAACGCGAGCAACAGCGAAGGACCCUAACCUGAGAGACAGGCACUGGGGGCCCAGGGGGGCCAGGGGAGACCUCGGUCUCACAGCGGAAGAGAUGGGGCCAGGAGGCUGGGUAGAAUCCUUAUCCAGAAUUGACAGGAGGUAGAUAUAGGAGAACAUUUUAAAUUAUUGUCUUAACUGUUGUAUAGUGUGCAAGAAACAAGACUAAGAGUCAUAGAACUCAAAAAACAACACAACAUAAA
This is a long non-coding RNA of Cavia porcellus (domestic guinea pig), 762 nucleotides long. RefSeq lists it as uncharacterized. The record is from RefSeq and is a predicted model, not a curated record. The transcript is spliced from 2 exons. NCBI's taxonomy places the organism in Eukaryota, Metazoa, Chordata, Mammalia, Rodentia, Caviidae.